This 363-nucleotide long non-coding RNA is filed under the name Ananas comosus (pineapple). RNAcentral's name for it is "long non-coding RNA (ACOM_LNC007637)". The record is from RNAcentral. Lineage: Eukaryota; Viridiplantae; Streptophyta; Magnoliopsida; Poales; Bromeliaceae.
AUAUUUGUAUUUAAAAUUUAUUAAAUUCAUACAUAAUUUUAUAAUAUAUAAAUUAUACAUAGAUAUAAAAGUCUUAAUUAAUAAUUAAAACAUGAUUAAGUUAUGCUCAGAAGAGAUAAUCUCACAUUUCUAUUUAAAAAUUGACAAAAUUUAUAAAUAUAAAUUUCAACUGCAGACUACCAAACGGAAGAAAUGUCACUGCAGCAGUUGUAACUUUAUAAAACCAAACAGACUAGGUAAGCAGUUGUAACUUUAUAAAACCAAACAGACUAGGUAUAGUUAUAGAGUACUAAAGUUAGAAAGCGUGAAACUACAGAGAUGGUAUUUGAAGUUUACCCUAAAUUAAAUUAGAAUAAAUUAAUA